Molecule: long non-coding RNA, 974 nt
Organism: Arvicola amphibius (Eurasian water vole)
Lineage: Eukaryota; Metazoa; Chordata; Mammalia; Rodentia; Cricetidae
Exons: 2
Source: RefSeq, a predicted model, not a curated record
AAAAGGGCAAGCAUUUGUCACUGUUUAAUCAUGAAUGUUUCGUUUGCAUAUGUCUGUGCAUCGUGCCCAGGGAAGCCAGAAGUGGGUAUCAGAUUCCCUGGGACUGGAGUUAUAGAUGGCUGUGAGUCACCAUUCAGAUGCUGGGAACUGAAGUGGGUUAAGCAGCAGCCAACGCUCUUAACUGCUAAACCAUCUCUCCAGCCCAUGUUUAAACUUUGUAACAUACUCCCAAGUUACAGAAUUUUGCCUUUUGAAACAGGUCUUGAUGGGCAGCUGGCCUCGAACUCGCAGAUUUGCAGCCUGAGUGCUGGAAUUCUAACACUUGGAAAAGAUCAGCAAAGAGAGUUUGAGUGUCACUCAAGAGCCCCGUCCUCCUGCACAGAGAGCCACGUUUGUCAAGAAACCAGCAUUUAUCCACCUAUUUGUUGCACACCUACUGUGUGCUAGGAGUUCCGCCAUCUUUACUGAGGUCAAGAGCUGUGGUUUUGCGUGGGCAUUCUGUAUUCACAAAGGAAAGGGCUACCAACUUGGGGUCCCGUGUUCCAGGCAAGCCAUGUGUCUGGCAGGUACAAAGUGUUUCUAGCACCUCACCAGGCCCUCAGGACAAACUGUGAAGAGCACCUCUUUUCCUGCUGCUGGCAUGCAAAUGAGGGUUUCUACAGAGACCACUUCCACUGAGGGAGAAUGAGAAGGGAGAGGAGGAGGGAGCAUGGGCUUGCUGGGUAUGCUGCAUUUCCACCAGCUUUACUGGAUGCCAUAUGGAAAAAGUACCACAGGUGGAUCCGGUGUCUUAAGGAAGUGGCAGAGGCAGUGGGUGAAAAGGACAAAGAGGUAUUUGUCUUUUGGAGCCUCCAGGAGGAACAAGCCACAGACACUUGACUUCUAAUGCCCUUGGACUUCUCUCCAGAAGUGUAAAGUGACAAACAGAUUUGCAAUUUGGUUACAGCAAAUAGAAACUGGUAUUUUUACAACUA